This is a transfer RNA of 72 nucleotides. It matches the Rfam family "tRNA". From Rfam's summary of the family: Transfer RNA (tRNA) molecules are approximately 80 nucleotides in length. Their secondary structure includes four short double-helical elements and three loops (D, anti-codon, and T loops). The record is from Rfam.
GGUCCGCUGGCUCAAUGGCAGAGCGUCUGACUACGGAUCAGGAGGUUCCAGGUUCGACCCCUGGGUGGAUCG